CGUGGUCAACCUUCCCUACAGUGGGGGAUAACUAGCCGAAAGGUUAGCUAAUACCGCAUGAGAUCUUCGAGUGGCAUCAUUUGAAGAUGAAAGGAGCAAUCCGCUGAAGGACGGGACCGCGUCCCAUUAGCUAGAUGGUGGGGUAAUGGCCUACCAUGGCAACGAUGGGUAGCUGGUUUGAGAGAGCGACCAGCCACACUGGGACUGAGACACGGCCCAG
This 220-nucleotide ribosomal RNA is filed under the name uncultured bacterium. RNAcentral's name for it is "partial 16S ribosomal RNA". It matches the Rfam family "Bacterial small subunit ribosomal RNA", at positions 116 to 334 of the family's 1533-position model. The record is from RNAcentral.